RNAcentral lists this transfer RNA (73 nucleotides) under Candidatus Moraniibacteriota bacterium. Its description in RNAcentral is "tRNA-Thr". It matches the Rfam family "tRNA". From Rfam's summary of the family: Transfer RNA (tRNA) molecules are approximately 80 nucleotides in length. Their secondary structure includes four short double-helical elements and three loops (D, anti-codon, and T loops). The record is from RNAcentral. Lineage: Bacteria; Candidatus Moraniibacteriota.
GCCAGAGUAGCUCAAUUGGUGGAGCAACGCACUCGUAACGCGUAGGCCGUGGGUUCGACUCCCAUCUCUGGCU